RNAcentral lists this non-coding RNA (268 nucleotides) under Paenibacillus sp. RNAcentral describes it as "T-box sequence". It matches the Rfam family "T-box leader". Rfam says of the family: Uncharged tRNA acts as the effector for transcription antitermination of genes in the T-box leader family. The record is from RNAcentral. Lineage: Bacteria; Bacillati; Bacillota; Bacilli; Caryophanales; Paenibacillaceae.
ACAAAGACGAAGAAAGACACCCAGUAGAAGUGGAGAUUACCGUUCUCAGAGAACCGAUGGUUGGUGCAAAUCGGCAAGCGGACUUCCUUUGAAUUACAGGUCUGGAGUCGUUUGAUAUUAGUAGUUCUAUUGAUAAUAUCAAGCCGGAAUGAAGAUUCCGUUAUAUACAAUGAAGUGAGAAGCUGAAUAUAUCUUAUGAUUUUAUCAAUAUAGGUAUAGGAUCAGUCUUCUAAUUAGGGUGGUAACGCGAGGCCUGCUCGUCCCUUUA